UACGUAGGGUGCGAGCGUUGUCCGGAAUUACUGGGCGUAAAGAGCUCGUAGGUGGUUUGUCGCGUUGUUCGUGAAAACUCACAGCUCAACUGUGGGCGUGCGGGCGAUACGGGCAGACUGGAGUACUGCAGGGGAGACUGGAAUUCCUGGUGUAGCGGUGGAAUGCGCAGAUAUCGGGAGGAACACCGGUGGCGAAGGCGGCGACCUGGGUAGAUACUGACGCUGAGGCGCGAAAGCGUGGGGAGCAAACAGG
This 253-nucleotide ribosomal RNA is filed under the name uncultured bacterium. RNAcentral describes it as "partial 16S ribosomal RNA". It matches the Rfam family "Bacterial small subunit ribosomal RNA", at positions 524 to 776 of the family's 1533-position model. The record is from RNAcentral.